UCGCGGCCUAUCAGCUUGUUGGUGAGGUAAUGGCUCACCAAGGCGACGACGGGUAGCCGGCCUGAGAGGGUGACCGGCCACACUGGGACUGAGACACGGCCCAGACUCCUACGGGAGGCGGCAGUGGGGAAUAUUGCACAAUGGGCGAAAGCCUGAUGCAGCGACGCCGCGUGAGGGAUGACGGCCUUCGGGUUGUAAACCUCUUUCAGUAGGGAAGAAGCGAAAGUGACGGUACCUGCAGAAGAAGCGCCGGCUAACUACGUGCCAGCAGCCGCGGUAAUACGUAGGGCGCAAGCGUUAUCCGGAAUUAUUGGGCGUAAAGAGCUCGUAGGCGGUUUGUCGCGUCUGCCGUGAAAGUCCGGGGCUCAACUCCGGAUCUGCGGUGGGUACGGGCAGACUAGAGUGAUGUAGGGGAGACUGGAAUUCCUGGUGUAGCGGUGAAAUGCGCAGAUAUCAGGAGGAACACCGAUGGCGAAGGCAGGUCUCUGGGCAUUAACUGACGCUGAGGAGCGAAAGCAUGGGGAGCGAACAGGAUUAGAUACCCUGGUAGUCCAUGCCGUAAACGUUGGGCACUAGGUGUGGGGGACAUUCCACGUUUUCCGCGCCGUAGCUAACGCAUUAAGUGCCCCGCCUGGGGAGUACGG
This 644-nucleotide ribosomal RNA is filed under the name uncultured bacterium. RNAcentral's name for it is "bacterial SSU rRNA". It matches the Rfam family "Bacterial small subunit ribosomal RNA", at positions 231 to 885 of the family's 1533-position model. The record is from RNAcentral.